CCUACGGGGGGCAGCAGUGGGGAAUUUUGGACAAUGGGCGCAAGCCUGAUCCAGCCAUUCCGCGUGAGUGAAGAAGGCCUUCGGGUUGUAAAGCUCUUUCGCAAGGGAAGAAAACUUAUCCUCUAACAUAGGAUGAGGUUGACGGUACCUUGAUAAGAAGCACCGGCUAACUACGUGCCAGCAGCCGCGGUAAUCCGUAGGGUGCGAUCGGUAAUCGGAAUUACUAGGCGGAUUGCGUAGGCAGAUGGGAAAUCCCCGAGCUCAACUUGGGAACUGCGUUUGAAACUACAAGACUAGAAUAGGUCAGAGGGGGGUAGAAUUCCACGUGUAGCAGUGAAAUGCGUAGAGAUGUGGAGGAAUAUCAAUGGCGAAGGCAGCCCCCUGGGAUCAUAUUGACGCUCAUGCACGAAAGCGUGGGGAGCAAACAGGAUUAGAUACCCUGGUAGUC
This 448-nucleotide ribosomal RNA is filed under the name uncultured bacterium. RNAcentral's name for it is "partial 16S ribosomal RNA". It matches the Rfam family "Bacterial small subunit ribosomal RNA", at positions 338 to 795 of the family's 1533-position model. The record is from RNAcentral.